UACGUAGGCAGCGAGCGUUGUUCGGAAUGACUGGGCGUAAAGAGUGCGUAGGCGGGCCUUUAAGUCCGAGGUGAAAUCCUGGAGCUCAACUCCAGAACUGCCUUUGAUACUGAGGAUCUUGAGUUCGGGAGAGGUGAGUGGAACUGCGAGUGUAGAGGUGAAAUUCGUAGAUAUUCGCAAGAACACCAGUGGCGAAGGCGGCUCACUGGCCCGAUACUGACGCUGAGGCACGAAAGCGUGGGGAGCAAACAGG
This 253-nucleotide ribosomal RNA is filed under the name uncultured bacterium. RNAcentral describes it as "partial 16S ribosomal RNA". It matches the Rfam family "Bacterial small subunit ribosomal RNA", at positions 524 to 776 of the family's 1533-position model. The record is from RNAcentral.